Molecule: long non-coding RNA, 555 nt
Organism: Lemur catta (Ring-tailed lemur)
Lineage: Eukaryota; Metazoa; Chordata; Mammalia; Primates; Lemuridae
Exons: 3
Source: RefSeq, a predicted model, not a curated record
GAACAGAAGAUGCUGCUAUUUUGGGAUCAUUACCUGCCCAGAGUAAGGAAAUGGUAGCGUUCUCGGAGUGGGGUGCAACCGGGACAGUGAGACACAGCCUCCAGGGAUUCCGAGCUUGUAAGCUGCUUUCGCAUUCACUGCAGCACCCCUGGCGGGUGGCAGCCCUGGAAUGGGCGCUCAGCAAGUACUAACGAAUUAAACUAGAUUGAAAAUUCCUGGCAAUCAAAUAAGAGCCAAGGAUCUCUCACGAAAGGAAGUGUUGAGAUGGAGCAAAAGGUAAACAAGUGCAUCGAGACCACUGGGUGGGGUUUGACCGCUCAGCUGGGGAUAUGUAGGGAACGAGGGACCGUUUCCUUGGGACGCCUGUCUGUGUGUGACCGUCUGCACACCACUGCCCUCAGCUGGACGCGGAGCCGAAGCUGCCCCAGCUCCACGUGGGCAUCGGGACUCCCUCAGGUUUCCUUCCCUCCCGAUCUGGGACAGGCCUCCUGGGCAAACCGGUUUCUUGGUUGGCUUCUCUUACCUGGUUUUUUUUUUUUUUUUUUUUACCCUGCC